This 607-nucleotide ribosomal RNA is filed under the name Actinoplanes italicus. RNAcentral describes it as "bacterial SSU rRNA". It matches the Rfam family "Bacterial small subunit ribosomal RNA", at positions 374 to 991 of the family's 1533-position model. The record is from RNAcentral. Lineage: Bacteria; Bacillati; Actinomycetota; Actinomycetes; Micromonosporales; Micromonosporaceae.
GGCGGAAGCCUGAUGCAGCGACGCCGCGUGAGGGAUGACGGCCUUCGGGUUGUAAACCUCUUUCAGCAGGGACGAAGCGCAAGUGACGGUACCUGCAGAAGAAGCGCCGGCCAACUACGUGCCAGCAGCCGCGGUAAGACGUAGGGCGCGAGCGUUGUCCGGAUUUAUUGGGCGUAAAGAGCUCGUAGGCGGCUUGUCGCGUCGAAUGUGAAAUCUCAGGGCUCAACUCUGACAUUGCAUUCGAUACGGGCAGGCUAGAGUUCGGUAGGGGAGACUGGAAUUCCUGGUGUAGCGGUGAAAUGCGCAGAUAUCAGGAGGAACACCGAUGGCGAAGGCAGGUCUCUGGGCCGAUACUGACGCUGAGGAGCGAAAGCGUGGGGAGCGAACAGGAUUAGAUACCCUGGUAGUCCACGCUGUAAACGUUGGGCGCUAGGUGUGGGGACCCUCUCCGGGUUUCUGCGCCGCAGCUAACGCAUUAAGCGCCCCGCCUGGGGAGUACGGCCGCAAGGCUAAAACUCAAAGGAAUUGACGGGGGCCCGCACAAGCGGCGGAGCAUGCGGAUUAAUUCGAUGCAACGCGAAGAACCUUACCUGGGUUUGACAUGGCC